Molecule: ribosomal RNA, 213 nt
Filed under: uncultured bacterium
Lineage: Bacteria
Description: partial 16S ribosomal RNA
Rfam family: Bacterial small subunit ribosomal RNA
Source: RNAcentral
UACGGAGGGUCCAAGCGUUAUCCGGAAUCAUUGGGUUUAAAGGGUCCGUAGGCGGUUUUGUAAGUCAGUGGUGAAAGCCCAUCGCUCAACGGUGGAACGGCCAUUGAUACUGCAAGACUUGAAUUAUUGGGAAGCAACUAGAAUAUGUAGUGUAGCGGUGAAAUGCUUAGAGAUUACAUGGAAUACCAAUUGCGAAGGCAGGUUGCUACCAAU